UACGUAGGCAGCGAGCGUUGUUCGGAGUUACUGGGCGUAAAGCGUGCGUAGGCGGUGUCCUAAGUCUGUUGUGAAAUCUCCCGGCUCAACUGGGAGGGUGCGGCGGAAACUGGGAUGCUGGAGUACGGGAGAGGUAAGCGGAAUUCCUGGUGUAGCGGUGAAAUGCGUAGAUAUCAGGAGGAACACCUGCGGUGUAGACGGCUUACUGGACCGUAACUGACGCUGAGGCACGAAAGCGUGGGUAGCAAACAGG
This 253-nucleotide ribosomal RNA is filed under the name uncultured bacterium. Its description in RNAcentral is "partial 16S ribosomal RNA". It matches the Rfam family "Bacterial small subunit ribosomal RNA", at positions 524 to 776 of the family's 1533-position model. RNAcentral also lists the same sequence under 1 other name. The record is from RNAcentral.